This 422-nucleotide ribosomal RNA is filed under the name bacterium. Its description in RNAcentral is "partial 16S ribosomal RNA". It matches the Rfam family "Bacterial small subunit ribosomal RNA", at positions 355 to 776 of the family's 1533-position model. The record is from RNAcentral.
UGGGGAAUUUUGCACAAUGGGCGCAAGCCUGAUGCAGCGACGCCGCGUGAGGGAUGAAGGCCUUCGGGUUGUAAACCUUUUUCGCUCAUGGUCAAGCCGCCGCUUUGGGUUGUGGUGAGGGUAGUGGGUAAAGAAGCGCCGGCUAACUACGUGCCAGCAGCCGCGGUAAUACGUAGGGCGCGAGCGUUGUCCGGAAUUAUUGGGCGUAAAGGGCUUGUAGGCGGUUGGCCGCGUCUGCCGUGAAAUCCUCUGGCUUAACUGGGGGCGUGCGGUGGGUAAGGGUUGGCUUGAGUGCGGUAUGGGAGAAUGGAAUUCCUGGUGUAGCGGUGGAAUGCGCAGAUAUCAGGAGGGACACCGGUGGCGAAGGCGGGUCUCUGGGCCGUUACUGACGCUGAGGGGCGAAAGCGUGGGGAGCGAACAGG